AGCAGCGCGUAGGGGUCGGAGCGCCCCUCCAGGAGCCCCCCCAGGAACCGAUCCUUGCAGCGCAGGGAGCGCGCACCGAGCAGGUGAACGCGCAGCACGCCCUGGGGACACCGCGGGGUCAGCGGGGACACCCCCGGGGGGACACCGGGACACCCCCGGGGGGGACACCGGGACAGGGAGGGACACCGCGGGAUCAGUGGGGACACCCCCGGGGGGGACACCGGCACCGGGGAGGGACACCGGGACACCCCCGGAGGGGACACCGCGGGAUCAGCGGGGACACUGGGACACCCCCGGGGGGAAACCGGCACCGGGGUGGGACACCGCGGGAUCAGCGGGGACACCGGGACACCCCCGGGGGGAAACCGGCACCGGGGGGGGACACCGCGAGAUCAGCGGGGACACCGGGACACCCCCUGGGGGGACACCGGGACCAGGGGGGGACACCGCGGGAUCAGCGGGGACACCGGGACACCCCCGGGGGGGACACCGGCACCGGGGAGGGACAGCGGGACCAGGAGGGGACACCGCGGGAUCCACCGGGACACCCCCGGGGGGGACACCGGGACCAGGGUGGGACACCGCGGGGUCAGCGGGGACACCGGGACACCCCCGGGGGGGACACCGGCACCGAGGAGGGACAGCGGGACCGGGGAGGGACACCGUGGGGUCAGCGGGGACACCGGGACACACCCAGGAGGGGACACCGGGACAGGGAGGGACAACGCGGGGUCAGCGGGGACACCCCCGGGGGGGACACCGGGACCGGGAGGGGACAGCGGGACAGGGAGGGGACACCGGGACUGGGAGGGGACACCGGGACUGGGAGGGGACACCGGGACCAGGAAGGGUCAGAGGGGAGGGGACACCGGCCCGGGAGAGGACACCGGACCCGGGAUCCCCCACCCCAGCCUGGGAGGGGACACCGGGACCGGGAGGGGACACCGGGACCGGGAGGGGACACCGGGACGGGGAGGGGACACGGCCCCGGGACCCCCGCACGACCCCCGGAGAGGGCGGUGAAAGGGAGAAAUGGAGGAGGGAGGCGGAGGGGAAAGGAAGGGGAAAAAGGAAAGGAAAAAAGAAAAAAGGGGAAAAUGAGGGGAAAAAAGGGGAAAAUGGGGACGGAGAAAGGAGAAGGGGAAGGGGAAAAAAGGAGAGAAAAAAGGAGAGAAAAAAGGGGGAAAAUGAAGGGAAAAAUGGGGAAAAAAGAGGGGAAAAGGGGAAAAUGAGAGGAAAAAUGG
Molecule: long non-coding RNA, 1244 nt
Filed under: Parus major (Great Tit)
Lineage: Eukaryota; Metazoa; Chordata; Aves; Passeriformes; Paridae
Description: lncRNA (ENSPMJG00000002168.1)
Source: RNAcentral